RNAcentral lists this long non-coding RNA (1093 nucleotides) under Homo sapiens (human). Its description in RNAcentral is "non-protein coding lnc-CEBPD-11:6". The record is from RNAcentral. Lineage: Eukaryota; Metazoa; Chordata; Mammalia; Primates; Hominidae.
AGUCGGGCCCGGAGCCCGGAAGGAGUGCCCCGCGGAGAGUCGAGCUUCCUUCCCCGGGGCUGGGGGUUCCGCGGAGCUCGCUCUGGGCUGUGGCGUUGCUCGCCCGCGAGCUCCUGGGGAGUUCGGGGGAGCUGCUGGGCUGGUGCCUGGAGCGGGGGCCGCCUCCAAGUAUUGUCUUUCGAAUUAAGUUACUGUCGUCUGUGUUGUCAGGCAACAACUGACCUUAAAUAAAAAUGAAAACCAGAAGUAGGCUACACAUGCAAUAGGCUACACAUGCAAUAAUGGAUACUUAAGGAAUGGGAGUGGCUGCUGGUGACUGGAGCAGAGAGGGUGUGGUUUCCCCAUGUUUCGGGGCCGGGGGGAAGGAGUAAAGUCUGUGUUCAGAGCCCAGACGCCAUGUCGGUCAUCACAUCACCGGGAGAACUCGUGGAGCCUGAGGAAAGGCUACGGGGUGCCAGAGUCUGAAGGGGCGGAAGAUUGCAUUCCUAUCACGUUCGCCGUGGCGCACAGGGGCUCCGCUGGGGCCGCCGCUCCCGCAGGAGAAGUGGGCCUGAGACGGUGCGGCGUCGACCAUAGCCGGCCCAGCAGAAGCCGGGGAAGGCCACAAGUGUAACUGGGUCCGAGUACUGUGAAGAAGGCGCCUCCCAUGGAGAAAGCUACCGGGUAGUUUAACAAGGUGGAAAAGCGUUGGCCUGGGGAGGAGGAAAGGAUGCUCAGAAAGUUGCCUCAAAAGGACGCAGAAGUGGAGGUGAAUCUUCUGUUUCAGAGGCAUUUUUUUGUGCCUCUGUGAGAAUGCAUUGCUUCCUGGUUGAUCCAUCUUCAGGUUUUCUCUCCGUCCUAGUCCCUGUUCUGCCACCAUUCUGUGUUUGAAUCUGGUACCUAAAGCCGCAGAUACUUGGUUCAUAGUAGAUGUCCACUCUGCAGUGGCUGAAAACACGGAAGAAAAACCAUCUUUGCCUGGGAAGGACAUUAUUGCUAGUGCCAUUACUGUCAACAGUUGGAACAAGAUAAACGGCAUGCCCAAUCUAGUUGAGGAUUUUGGACACCGGGCCUCCCACUGGGACUCCGCCGAGAAACCAGGUCUGCCAUUGCC